GCCUUCUGCGGCCUCAAGGUCUGGCGUGGACUUCCGGGUCAGCUGCGGGUGCAGGCCGGGCAGCGAGACCUGGCGCCACCAGAAGGCGCCACCUGGCGGCUUCUCGGUGCAUUGCAGAGCCUUCGGAUCUGGCGGUGUAGGCUUCCACAGUUUGCUUAACCUCUCUGGCCUGGAACUGCCUUAUCUGUGUAGUAGGGACUGCAAAACGCCUUUCCGGGACUGAAUGAGAGAAUGAUGGUCCAGUGCAUGAACUCAGCAGGAAGGGAAGACCAUGUAGCAGCUGUACAUUUGAGUUGUCUCUGGAAUUCGGUGUUUAUGAAUAAAGUCGUCUGAGUAUUCCUGCUAAAAGUUUUGUGUGAAUAAAGACUUUUCACUUGAGAAAACGCCUAGGAGGGCAAUUGUGGGGUCACGGGUAAGUGUAUGUCUGUGUGAACCACUAAACUGUUUUUCACAGUGCGCCCUUACUAGAAGGCACUCCUUGUCCUGGACCCUGGCACACACCAGCAAGACACAGGCCCUGCUUCACCCACACUAUAUUUUGGAGAUGGAAACAAAAGUAAAAAGGACUAAGAAAUAAGAUUGUUUUGUACAGUAUAGGAGUGAUGAUAGGUUAGAAGA
Molecule: long non-coding RNA, 618 nt
Organism: Nannospalax galili (Upper Galilee mountains blind mole rat)
Lineage: Eukaryota; Metazoa; Chordata; Mammalia; Rodentia; Spalacidae
Exons: 3
Source: RefSeq, a predicted model, not a curated record